This 510-nucleotide ribosomal RNA is filed under the name uncultured bacterium. RNAcentral's name for it is "partial 16S ribosomal RNA". It matches the Rfam family "Bacterial small subunit ribosomal RNA", at positions 28 to 523 of the family's 1533-position model. The record is from RNAcentral.
GACGAACGCUGGCGGCGUGCCUAAUACAUGCAAGUCGAGCGAAUGACGAGAAGCUUGCUUCUCUGAUUUAGCGGCGGACGGGUGAGUAACACGUGGGCAACCUGCCCUACAGAUCGGGAUAACUCAGGGAAGCCUGGGCUAAUACCGGAUAAUCCUUCGAAUCACGUGUUUUGAAGUUGAAAGGCGCUUCGGCGUCACUGUAGGAUGGGCCCGCGGUGCAUUAGCUAGUUGGUGGGGUAACGGCCUACCAAGGCAACGAUGCAUAGCCGACCUGAGAGGGUGAUCGGCCACAUUGGGACUGAGACACGGCCCAAACUCCUACGGGAGGCAGCAGUAGGGAAUCUUCCACAAUGGACGAAAGUCUGAUGGAGCAACGCCGCGUGUGUGAUGAAGGUUUUCGGAUCGUAAAACUCUGUUGUAAGGGAGGAACAAGUACGUUAGGAAAUGAACGUACCUUGACGGUACCUUAUUAGAAAGCCACGGCUAACUACGUGCCAGCCGCCGCAGUAA